UGAUGAUCUAUAACCAAGUGGGUGAGAGCUGCUCUUCUGUCUUCUGAGUAGGCUUCUGUCAGUUGUCAUCUGGUCAUUGGUGGAUUGCACUGAUCUGGCAGUUUGCCGAGGCUAAGUCAAUAUCUUUGUCCUCAGGCCUCCCUGGCGCUGGUGGAAUUCACGCAAGUUGUGAGUCCCUAUGGCACUGGCACCAGUUCACAUCAUUGCACCUGUGGUGCUUUUGCCCUGGCUGUCUCUUGUUCAGACAACACAGCAAAAUGCUUUUUGGAAGUUAAGAAUUACUGCAUCCAUCUAAUGACCUUAAUCCAUGGUAUUCAGGAUGUCAUGUGAGAAAAAUAUGUGUUUUUGCAGGCAGAUGAAGACUCUGCAGUGGGACAAUAAUUGUGCUUGGGUAUUUUGGUUGGUACAAGAGAUUGAAUGUGAAAGGCAGUUCUCUAGGCUUCAGUCCCAGUCUGGAGCACACUUUUAAUAUCACAGACUCCAAAAACAUGAAAAUCACUUGGAGAGAGAUUGGGACAGUAUGGGGGAUGUGUAAGGACCUCGCAGUAAAACUCUUGCAGUGCAGCUGAAACAACACAUACUUGUUCCAAGACUAGGUGAACUAAGUCAUUGAUGACAUAUCCAAAAGCUGGAAAAGCAUUGAAAUGAAAUAGAUUCUCCAUACCUGUGCUGUGAAUGACAACGAAGGUCAAGGAUGUUGCAGAAGGACUGCACUGGCCACUUACAAGAUCAACACCACUGUGAAAGCAGGUGCCAGUUUCAAAGCUGUGACUGCAGUGAGCUGUGAAAAAGCAUCAGAGCCGAGCAGAUUCAGAUUCAGAUUCUUUAUUGGUCUUUCAGUAUUAUUGCAGGCAAUAGACUUUGUCAGUUCACUUAAGCU
Molecule: long non-coding RNA, 880 nt
Organism: Schistocerca piceifrons (Central American locust)
Lineage: Eukaryota; Metazoa; Arthropoda; Insecta; Orthoptera; Acrididae
Exons: 3
Source: RefSeq, a predicted model, not a curated record